This 588-nucleotide long non-coding RNA is filed under the name Pongo abelii (Sumatran orangutan). Its description in RNAcentral is "lincRNA". Lineage: Eukaryota; Metazoa; Chordata; Mammalia; Primates; Hominidae. The record is from RNAcentral.
UGUUGAGGAAAUUUCUGCAGUUUUAAGCAGUCGUAUUUGUGAUUGAAGCUAAGUACAUUUUGCUGUGUAUUUUUAGGUAAAAUGCUUUUUGUUCAUUUCUGGUGGUGGGAGGGGACUGAAGCCUUUAGUCUUUUCCAGAUGCAACCUUAAAAUCAGUGACAAGAAACAAAAUUCAAACAAGCAACAGUCUUCAAGAAAUUAAACUGGCAAGUGGAAAUGUUUAACAGUUCAGCGAUCUUUAGUGCAUUGUUUUUGUGUGGGUUUCUCUCUCCCCUCCCUUGGUCUUAAUUCUUACAUGCAGGAACACUCAGCAGACACACGUAUGCGAAGGGCCAGAGAAGCCAGACCCAGUAAGAAAAAAUAGCCUAUUUACUUUAAAUAAACAAACCAAACAUUCCAUUUUAAAUGUGGGGAUUGGGAACCACUAGUUCUUUCAGAUGGUAUUCUUCAAACUGUAGAAGGAGCUUCCAGUUGAAUUCACCAGUGGACAAAAUGAGGACAACAGGUAAUACCCUGAAACUGGUGUUUUGAGAAGCCCUACUGCUGAAAACUUAACAAUUUUAUGUAAUAAAAAUGGAGAAGCUCUAA